Molecule: long non-coding RNA, 1692 nt
Organism: Gigantopelta aegis
Lineage: Eukaryota; Metazoa; Mollusca; Gastropoda; Neomphalida; Peltospiridae
Exons: 3
Source: RefSeq, a predicted model, not a curated record
CGCAUGAAACAAGCGCUGUACCACUGGGCUACGUCCCACCCUCCAGUGGAAGGUGUACUGUUGCCGUAUUUUAGGUGUCCCACCCUCCAGUGGAAGGUGUGCUGUUGCAGUGGAAGGUGUGCAGUUGCCGUAUUUUAGGUGUCCCACCCUCCAGUGGAAGGUGUGCUGUUGCAGUAUUUUAGGUGUCCCAUCCUCCAGUGGAAGGUGUGCUGUUGCAGUGGAAGGUGUGCUGUUGCCGUAUUUUAGGUGUCCCACCCUCCAGUGGAAGGUGUGCUGUUGCCGUAUUUUAGGUGUCCCGCUCUGCAGUGGAAGGUGUGCUGUUGCCGUAUUUUAGGUGUCCCACCCUCCAGUGGAAGGUGUGCUGUUGCAGUAUUUUAGGUGUCCCACCCUCCAGUGGAAGGUGUGCUGUUGCAGUGGAAGGUGUGCUGUUGCCGUAUUUUAGGUGUCCCGCCCUCCUGUGGAAGGUGUGCUGUUGCCGUAUUUUAGGUGUCCCACCCUCCAGUGGAAGGUGUGCUGUUGCCGUAUUUUAGGUGUCCCACCCUCCAGUGGAAUGUGUGCUGUUGCAGUGGAAGGUGUGCUGUUGCCGUAUUUUAGGUGUCCCACCCUCCAGUGGAAGGUGUGCUGUUGCCGUAUUUUAGGUGUCCCACCCUCCAGUGGAAGGUGUGCUGUUGCCGUAUUUUAGGUGUCCCGCCCUCCAGUGGAAGGUGUGCUGUUGCAGUAUUUUAGGUGUCCCACCCUCCAGUGGAAGGUGUGCUGUUGCAGUGGAAGGUGUGCUGUUGCCGUAUUUUAGGUGUCCCACCCUCCAGUGGAAGGUGUGCUGUUGCCGUAUUUUAGGUGUCCCACCCUCCAGUGGAAGGUGUGCUGUUGCCGUAUUUUAGGUGUCCCACCCUCCAGUGGAAGGUGCGCUAUUGCUGUAUUUUAGGUGUCCCGCCCUCCAGUGGAAGGUGUGCUGUUGCAGUAUUUUAGGUGUCCCACCCUCCAGUGGAAGGUGUGCUGUUGCCGUAUUUUAGGUGUCCCACCCUCCAGUGGAAGGUGUGCUGUUGCCGUAUUUUAGGUGUCCCGCCCUCCAGUGGAAGGUGUGCUGUUGCAGUAUUUUAGGUGUCCCACCCUCCAGUGGAAGGUGUGCUGUUGCAGUGGAAGGUGUGCUGUUGCCGUAUUUUAGGUGUCCCACCCUCCAGUGGAAGGUGUGCUGUUGCCGUAUUUUAGGUGUCCCACCCUCCAGUGGAAGGUGUGCUGUUGCCGUAUUUUAGGUGUCCCACCCUCCAGUGGAAGGUGCGCUAUUGCUGUAUUUUAGGUGUCCCGCCCUCCAGUGGAAGGUGUGCUGUUGCAGUAUUUUAGGUGUCCCACCCUCCAGUGGAAGGUGUGCUGUUGCCGUAUUUUAGGUGUCCCACCCUCCAGUGGAAGGUGUGCUGUUGCAGUGGAAGGUGUGCUGUUGACGUAUUUUAGGUGUCCCACCCUCCAGUGGAAGGUGUGCUGUUGCCGUAUUUUAGGUGUCCCGCCCUCCAGUGGAAGGUGUGCUGUUGCAGUAUUUUAGGUUCAGAGAUGAAAUUAAGCUGUUGAAUCGUGCACCUCAAAUGUGAGGGGCGGGACGUAGCUCAGUGGUAUAGCACUCACUUGCUGUGUGGUCAGUCUGGGAUUGAUCCCCAUCGGUGGGCCCACUGGGCUAUUAUAUCUCGUUCCAGCCAGUGCACC